Molecule: RNA transcript, 3332 nt
Organism: Prunus persica (peach)
Lineage: Eukaryota; Viridiplantae; Streptophyta; Magnoliopsida; Rosales; Rosaceae
Gene name: transcription factor TCP18
Exons: 2
Source: RefSeq, a predicted model, not a curated record
CUACCUAGCUCGCUUAAGUACCCUUCCUCUCUGCAACCCUGAGCUCGUCCCUCUUUCUAUAUUUCUUGUAUCCACUCACUUUCUUCCUUUCUAUCUUUCUUUCUCGUCACCACUGUUGAUUGCACUUGCCUUUUCUCUUAAAAGAUUAUGUAAGGUCAUGAACAUGAAUAGUGAACCAAAUACCAGUUUCCUCAUCUUCUUUUAGCUCUGCACAACCACCAACAAGGAGUCAAGACCGCCAUCACCCUCAUCAGGUUGUCCACUUUAUGUUUUUUUCUUUAUAGCUUGGCAGUAGUUGCCUCCCCUUUCUCUUUAAAGCUCUCUUUCUAGCUUAAUUGCAUAUAUAUCCAUAUCUACAUAUAUUGUAGCAGAACAGUCAUCCCCGGCCUCUCUUAAUUUCUCUUUACUGUUGGUGUUGUGUUCCGGCGGUUCAAAACAGUACCCGUUGAAGAGACUUUCCAUCAUCCAAAAUCCAAGGGUUGAGAGAGAGAGCUAAUUAAAGAUCCAUUAUUAUAUGACCAUGUUUCCUUCUAGCAGCAGCGCUAGUAAUUACCAGCGGCCUUUUCCAUGUGAUACCAACCAGCAGCCGCAGCUGCUCGAAAAGUCCUCUACAAAUAUCAUUGAUCAGCAUGAUCAUGAAAACCCUAACUCAAUAUCACAUGAUGACCAUCAUAUUCGUCAGUACUAUUCACACUACUCUGAAGAUCAUCAGCAUCAGGCACCUAAUAAUUUUCUUGAACACGACGGACUGCUUUUGAGCUACUUGCUAUCUCAGCAGCAGCUCUUGGUUGGAAGCUCCAGUCCCAAUAUGAACAGUGCUACUUCUCAUCAUGUUCAAGCUCAUGAUACUACUGAAAUCAGCGUUGUGGCUUCCAAUUCAAACAAAAAAGUAAUGGAUCGUGUUGACGAGGAUCGGACUGCCCCAGCUGCAACUUCGAAAGGGUGCUCUUCAAAGAAGAAGAGCAAUACAUCAAAUGGAGAAAGCAAGAACGCGAAGGCUCCUCGAAAGAGAUCAAGCGGGAAUAAGGACAGGCACAGCAAGAUCUACACAGCUCAAGGCCCAAGAGACCGCAGAAUGAGGCUGUCUCUUCAAAUUGCCCGCAAGUUCUUUGAUCUUCAAGACAUGCUGGGGUUUGAUAAAGCCAGCAAAACCAUCGAGUGGCUUUUCACAAAGUCCAAGACUUCCAUCAAGGAACUCAAGCAGCACCUCAACAUCUCACCCCUGGCAGCUUACAGCUGUAGCACCAAUGCCAACGCUACUUCUACCAGCACAAUCACUGCAAAGAUGAAUUCGUCCACUUCUGAGAAUAGCGAAGUUGCAUCCAAGAUUCAGGAGACUGCAAAUGGCGACGUACAUUCGAUUGGGACAUUGGAAAGAGAGAAAAAGAACAGGAAGUUAUGUGUGGUUGCGAGGGAAUCGAGGGUCGAGGCAAGAGCAAGGGCAAGGGAGAGAACAAGGGAGAAGAUGAUGAGGACCAGAUCAGGUUUGGAUCAAUAUCAGAAUUUAAGAAAACAAAGCCCUGAUCAUGAUCAAGUACCACAAAACCCUAAUAAUGAUCAAUUCUCAGGCGGUCACUACUUAUGGUCUUCUAAUUGUCCUAAUGAUCAAUUGUUUGAACCUGGAAUGAUGAUGAAUUCCAUGGUGAUGAGCAUCAAUCAUCAUGAUGAGAAGGUUGUGGGCAGCACAACAAUUCCCAGUGGAGCAAAUUCCGAGGAUUAUGAUUUUCCAAGUUUUCCUGGGAAUUGGGGCCAAAUCAACAAUUCCAAGAACACUACAGGUAAUAACGUGCUGCAAAUAGAUCCAAACCCUAGUAACUCAUCAACUAUGGCUACUGCUCCUCCUACCUCAUACCCCCUAGAACAAAAGCCUAGAUCAGUUUUCAUGUCCACCUCAUCAAGCAUGCAAGAACAAAACCCUAGUUCAAUCUUCGUCACAACCUUGAUUGCUGAAGACCAAAAUCCCACUACUUCUUCAAAUUUUGGGACCAAUUCAAGUAUUGUUUUGCAGUCCCAGUUCCUUGGAAAUUAAUGAAUGGAAAGACCAAUCUUAGUUUCUUGCACCUUCUCCAAUUCCUCACAAUACGGUGUUUGUAUGAAAGUGUGGAUAAUUUUCUUUGAUAUCGCCGGCGCAUGAGUGAGUAAUAUGUUUUCAGGAGUGUUUGUUGAACUUUUUAUUCCAAUUUAUUAGCAAAUUUAAUUUGAGGAUGUCGAUUUAUAAAAAUUGUGCAGUGUCAGGUGCUAUCAUGUUAUCAAUUGAUAAUUGCAUAAAUUCUCCAGAUAAUGUGUAUUCUCAAGAAUUCCAGUUAUUAAAAACAAUAUCUUAACUUCAUGUUUAUAUUUGUAUUUACCAGCUAAUUAAGUACAAUCUACAUAUAUGCCACCUUCAAAUAUUGAUGUUUUGCAGGUUUGAGUAGCUAGCAAGAGUUCUGCUGCAAACAACAAGCAGCAUAUCAUUCUCUAUUCCUUUCAGGUCCUUUUGAUCUCCUAUAUAUGCAAUAAAACCAAACCAUGGAUACAGUAAUAUCCAAAACCAAAAGCUUCUCAGAAUAUAAGAAUUGCGUAUUACAGGUUGAGGAAUGAUCUCUCUGCUUGGAUAUUGGACACCAUACCGUGAUCGAUCUUAAAAGCCAAUACGAACGUUCUGUCAGUAAUCCAGAAUGAGGUGAAAGAAACUGUACCUCACCAUCAAUCAGUCAAGAAGUCUGGAUAGAUGUUCUUGUUAUUAUGAAUCACAUACGUAGUCCUUGAUGGGCACAUUUCGGCUAUCUAUUACAGAACAGAUGCAGCAUUUCGGCUAUAUUCUCUAGCUAAUGUUUCUGCUUUAACAAUGUUUAAAACGAUGGAAUAUUGUUAUUCAUAUUAAUUUGCACAAAAUCAUCAUAUGCACGUAUAUUGUUGUGUGUUUUUGCAUUCAACCUGAGAUAAUUGUUGUUUCCUAUAUAUUCUAGCCAGUAAUAUAUAUACGUGCAAAAAUAGUUGAUAGAGAAACCAUUUAAGCUCAGUUCUCUUGAGACGAUCAAAUUUCAACUGUCAAAAAGCGAAAUCUUUUAAUCGAUCUAUUAUCGCCUAUAUGUAUCCUGCAAAACCUUUUAAUCGAUCUCAUAUGCACAUGUUACAAUCUUAACCUAAACUAGUCCUGGAACCUGGAUUCUGUGGUUAGAUAGCAUCAUCAGAAUCCUGAUGAUAUGUAUACUUGGUGAAUUAACUUGCAAGCUGCAAAAGGUGUAAAGUGUUUUGAGAUUCUGUGGCCAUUUUUUGUUAUUUUUCUUUGUGGUUUCUGUUGUCUUCUUGUUAUAUAAUCAUAUUUGUUUAGCAUAAAGGUCCUUGUUGCU